This 484-nucleotide ribosomal RNA is filed under the name uncultured bacterium. Its description in RNAcentral is "partial 16S ribosomal RNA". It matches the Rfam family "Bacterial small subunit ribosomal RNA", at positions 30 to 507 of the family's 1533-position model. The record is from RNAcentral.
AUUGAACGCUGGCGGCAGGCCUAACACAUGCAAGUCGAGCGGAUGAAGUGAUCUUGCUCCUGGAUUCAGCGGCGGACGGGUGAGUAAUGCCUAGGAAUCUGCCUGGUAGUGGGGGAUAACGUCCGGAAACGGGCGCUAAUACCGCAUACGUCCUGAGGGAGAAAGUGGGGGAUCUUCGGACCUCACGCUAUCAGAUGAGCCUAGGUCGGAUUAGCUAGUUGGUGGGGUAAAGGCCUACCAAGGCGACGAUCCGUAACUGGUCUGAGAGGAUGAUCAGUCACACUGGAACUGCGACACGGUCCAGACUCCUACGGGAGGCAGCAGUGGGGAAUAUUGGACAAUGGGCGAAAGCCUGAUCCAGCCAUGCCGCGUGUGUGAAGAAGGUCUUCGGAUUGUAAAGCACUUUAAGUUGGGAGGAAGGGCAGUAAGUUAAUACCUUGCUGUUUUGACGUUACCAACAGAAUAAGCACCGGCUAACUUCGUG